GACGAACGCUGGCGGCGUGCCUAAUACAUGCAAGUGGGACGCAAGGGAACACACUGUGCUUUGCACACCGUGUUUUCUUGAGUCGCGAACGGGUGAGUAACGCGUAGGUAACCUGCCUAUUAGCGGGGGAUAACUAUUGGAAACGAUAGCUAAUACCGCAUAAUAUUAAUUAUUGCAUGAUAAUUGAUUGAAAGAUGCAAGCGCAUCACUAGUAGAUGGACCUGCGUUGUAUUAGCUAGUUGGUAAGGUAAGAGCUUACCAAGGCGACGAUACAUAGCCGACCUGAGAGGGUGAUCGGCCACACUGGGACUGAGACACGGCCCAGACUCCUACGGGAGGCAGCAGUAGGGAAUCUUCGGCAAUGGACGAAAGUCUGACCGAGCAACGCCGCGUGAGUGAAGAAGGUUUUCGGAUCGUAAAGCUCUGUUGUAAGUCAAGAACGUGUGUGAGAGUGGAAAGUU
RNAcentral lists this ribosomal RNA (461 nucleotides) under Streptococcus mutans. RNAcentral describes it as "bacterial SSU rRNA". It matches the Rfam family "Bacterial small subunit ribosomal RNA", at positions 28 to 470 of the family's 1533-position model. Lineage: Bacteria; Bacillati; Bacillota; Bacilli; Lactobacillales; Streptococcaceae. The record is from RNAcentral.